RNAcentral lists this ribosomal RNA (496 nucleotides) under uncultured bacterium. RNAcentral describes it as "partial 16S ribosomal RNA". It matches the Rfam family "Bacterial small subunit ribosomal RNA", at positions 28 to 507 of the family's 1533-position model. The record is from RNAcentral.
GAUGAACGCUGGCGGCGUGCCUAAUACAUGCAAGUCGAGCGAACGGACGAGAAGCUUGCUUUUCUGAUGUUAGCGGCGGACGGGUGAGUAACACGUGGAUAACCUACCUAUAAGACUGGGAUAACUUCGGGAAACCGGAGCUAUACCGGAUAAUAUUUUGAACCGCAUGGUUCAAAAGUGAAAGACGGUCCUGCUGUCACUUAUAGAUGGAUCCGCGCUGCAUUAGCUAGUUGGUAAGGUAACGGCUUACCAAGGCAACGAUGCAUAGCCGACCUGAGAGGGUGAUCGGCCACACUGGAACUGAGACACGGUCCAGACUCCUACGGGAGGCAGCAGUAGGGAAUCUUCCGCAAUGGGCGAAAGCCUGACGGAGCAACGCCGCGUGAGUGAUGAAGGUCUUCGGAUCGUAAAACUCUGUUAUUAGGGAAGAGCAUAUGUGUAAGUAACUGUGCACAUCUUGACGGUACCUAAUCAGAAAGCCACGGCUAACUACGUG